UACAGGGGGUGCAAACGUUGCUCGGAAUCAUUGGGCGUAAAGCGCACGUAGGCGGUCUGUUAUGUCGGAUGUGAAAGCCCUUGGCUUAACUGAGGAAGUGCAUCCGAAACUGGCAGGCUAGAGUACUAAAGAGGGUCGCGGAAUUCCCGGUGUAGAGGUGAAAUUCGUAGAUAUCGGGAGGAAUACCAGUGGCGAAGGCGGCCUUCGUGGACGGAGUACUGACGCUGAGGCGCGGAAAGCCAGGGGAGCGAACGGG
RNAcentral lists this ribosomal RNA (256 nucleotides) under uncultured bacterium. RNAcentral describes it as "partial 16S ribosomal RNA". It matches the Rfam family "Bacterial small subunit ribosomal RNA", at positions 524 to 776 of the family's 1533-position model. The record is from RNAcentral.